This 472-nucleotide ribosomal RNA is filed under the name uncultured bacterium. RNAcentral's name for it is "bacterial SSU rRNA". It matches the Rfam family "Bacterial small subunit ribosomal RNA", at positions 335 to 799 of the family's 1533-position model. The record is from RNAcentral.
ACUCCUACGGGAGGCAGCAGUAGGAAUUUUCCGCAAUGGACGAAAGUCUGACGGAGCAAUGCCGCGUGAGUGAUGAAGGUUUUCGAAUCGUAAAGCUCUGUUGUAAGGGAAAGAAUAGCAGUAGUAAGGAAAUGACUACUGUGUGACGGUACCUUACCAAGAACGCACGGCUAACUACGUGCCAGCAGCCGCGGUAAUACGUAGGUGGCAAGCGUUAUCCGGAAUUAUUGGGCGUAAAGCGCAUGUAGGCGGCUCUUUAAGUCUGAUGUGAAAGCCUGUGGCUCAACCACAGAAUUGCAUUGGAUACUGGAGAGCUAGAAUCUUGGAGAGGUAAGUGGAAUUUCAUGUGUAGCGGUGGAAUGCGUAGAUAUAUGAAGGAACACCAAUGGCGAAGGCAGCUUACUGGACAAGUAUUGACGCUGAGAUGCGAAAGUGUGGUAGCAAACAGGAUUAGAUACCCUGGUAGGCUCUG